GCUCGACUGGCCCAGUGGUAAGGCGUCUGUUUUACACACAGAAGAUCCUCGGUUCGAUCCCGAGGUUGAGCA
Aspergillus brasiliensis CBS 101740 is the source of this 72-nucleotide transfer RNA. It matches the Rfam family "tRNA". Rfam says of the family: Transfer RNA (tRNA) molecules are approximately 80 nucleotides in length. Their secondary structure includes four short double-helical elements and three loops (D, anti-codon, and T loops). Further hydrogen bonds mediate the characteristic L-shaped molecular structure. tRNAs have two regions of fundamental functional importance: the anti-codon, which is responsible for specific mRNA codon recognition, and the 3' end, to which the tRNAs corresponding amino acid is attached (by aminoacyl-tRNA synthetases). tRNAs cope with the degeneracy of the genetic code in two manners: having more than one tRNA (with a specific anti-codon) for a particular amino acid; and 'wobble' base-pairing, i.e. permitting non-standard base-pairing at the 3rd anti-codon position. Lineage: Eukaryota; Fungi; Ascomycota; Eurotiomycetes; Eurotiales; Aspergillaceae. The record is from Rfam.